RNAcentral lists this transfer RNA (72 nucleotides) under Cordylochernes scorpioides. RNAcentral describes it as "tRNA-Gly". Lineage: Eukaryota; Metazoa; Arthropoda; Arachnida; Pseudoscorpiones; Chernetidae. The record is from RNAcentral.
UGCAUCGGCCGGGAAUCGAACCUGGGCCGCCAGCGUGGCAGGCGAGCCAUUCUACCACUAAGCCACCGAUGC